UGUUGACUUGGAAGUUGUUCCCUUGAGGCGUGGCUUCCGGAGCUAACGCGUUAAGUCGACCGCCUGGGGAGUACGGCCGCAAGGUUAUAACUCAAAUGAAUUGACGGGGGCCCGCACAAGCGGUGGAGCAUGUGGUUUAAUUCGAUGCAACGCGAAGAACCUUACCUACUCUUGACAUCCAGAGAACUUAGCAGAGAUGCUUUGGUGCCUUCGGGAACUCUGAGACAGGUGCUGCAUGGCUGUCGUCAGCUCGUGUUGUGAAAUGUUGGGUUAAGUCCCGCAACGAGCGCAACCCUUAUCCUUUGUUGCCAGCGGUUCGGCCGGGAACUCAAAGGAGACUGCCAGUGAUAAACUGGAGGAAGGUGGGGAUGACGUCAAGUCAUCAUGGCCCUUACGAGUAGGGCUACACACGUGCUACAAUGGCGCAUACAAAGAGAAGCGACCUCGCGAGAGCAAGCGGACCUCAUAAAGUGCGUCGUAGUCCGGAUUGGAGUCUGCAACUCGACUCCAUGAAGUCGGAAUCGCUAGUAAUCGUGGAUCAGAAUGCCACGGUGAAUACGUUCCCGGGCCUUGUACACACCGCCCGUCACACCAUGGGAGUGGGUUGCAAAAGAAGUAGGUAGCUUAACCUUCGGGAGGGCAGU
This 644-nucleotide ribosomal RNA is filed under the name Enterobacter cloacae. RNAcentral describes it as "bacterial SSU rRNA". It matches the Rfam family "Bacterial small subunit ribosomal RNA", at positions 810 to 1454 of the family's 1533-position model. The record is from RNAcentral. Lineage: Bacteria; Pseudomonadati; Pseudomonadota; Gammaproteobacteria; Enterobacterales; Enterobacteriaceae.